Long non-coding RNA from Alligator sinensis (Chinese alligator), 274 nucleotides. RefSeq lists it as uncharacterized. The transcript has 4 exons. Lineage: Eukaryota; Metazoa; Chordata; Crocodylia; Alligatoridae. The record is from RefSeq and is a predicted model, not a curated record.
AAGCUUUGGCAGCAGUCCAACAGAUGAGUUGCAUUCCAAGAAAACAUCUAAAAUAGAGAGAUGUAAUAAUAAGAAAGGGGUAACUCCCUGCUGCUAAUGCCCUGUGAAUGCCAAAAGCCAGCUCUGAAGUAUCUGCAUUUUCUUCUCAGUGAAACAAGUGCAAAGGAGUGGACCAGGCUCGGCAGUCCAGAUACAGCAUCUUCGAAAGAGACCACCAAUCUGAAUUCAAAGACUUCAAGAGAUGGAGAAACCACCACUUCCCUUGGGAGUUCAU